Molecule: ribosomal RNA, 253 nt
Filed under: uncultured bacterium
Lineage: Bacteria
Description: partial 16S ribosomal RNA
Rfam family: Bacterial small subunit ribosomal RNA
Source: RNAcentral
UACGGAGGUGGCUAGCGUUGUCCGGAAUCACUGGGCGUAAAGAGCGCGUAGGCGGCUUGCCAGGUCCGAUGUGAAAACCCGGGGCUUAACUCCGGGCCUGCAUCGGAAACCGGCUUGCUAGAGUCUGGGAGAGGAGAGUGGAAUUCCUGGUGUAGCGGUGAAAUGCGUAGAUAUCAGGAGGAACACCGGUAGCGAAGGCGGCUCUCUGGAACAGUACUGACGCUGAGGCGCGAAAGCUAGGGGAGCGAACAGG